CGUUGUCUGAGCACAUGCGCCAGGCAGGGGAAGUGCUGAAUGUGAGCAUCUUUCGGACGCCCGACGGUCGCUCCAAGGGCUGCGGGUUGGUGUCGUACCG
Molecule: non-coding RNA, 100 nt
Filed under: Eutreptiella gymnastica
Lineage: Eukaryota; Euglenozoa; Euglenophyceae; Eutreptiales; Eutreptiaceae
Source: RNAcentral